RNAcentral lists this ribosomal RNA (483 nucleotides) under uncultured bacterium. RNAcentral's name for it is "partial 16S ribosomal RNA". It matches the Rfam family "Bacterial small subunit ribosomal RNA", at positions 28 to 507 of the family's 1533-position model. The record is from RNAcentral.
GACGAACGCUGGCGGCGUGCUUAACACAUGCAAGUCGAACGCUGAAGCUCAGCUUUUGUUGGGUGGAUGAGUGGCGAACGGGUGAGUAACACGUGAGUAACCUGCCCCCUUCUUUGGGAUAACGCCCGGAAACGGGUGCUAAUACUGGAUAUUCACUGGUCUUCGCAUGGGGGUUGGUGGAAAGGGUUUUUCUGGUGGGGGAUGGGCUCGCGGCCUAUCAGCUUGUUGGUGGGGUGAUGGCCUACCAAGGCUUUGACGGGUAGCCGGCCUGAGAGGGUGACCGGUCACAUUGGGACUGAGAUACGGCCCAGACUCCUACGGGAGGCAGCAGUGGGGACUAUUGCACAAUGGGCGCAAGCCUGAUGCAGCGACGCCGCGUGAGGGAUGGAGGCCUUCGGGUUGUGAACCUCUUUCACUCAUGGUCAAGCCGCAACAAUGGUUGUGGUGAGGGUAGUGGGUAAAGAAGCGCCGGCUAACUACGUG